Molecule: ribosomal RNA, 459 nt
Filed under: uncultured bacterium
Lineage: Bacteria
Description: partial 16S ribosomal RNA
Rfam family: Bacterial small subunit ribosomal RNA
Source: RNAcentral
CCUACGGGAGGCAGCAGUGAGGAAUAUUGGUCAAUGGUCGGGAGACUGAACCAGCCAAGCCGCGUGAGGGAUGAAGGUACAGAGUAUCGUAAACCUCUUUUGUCAGGGAACAAAGGCGGGGACGUGUCCCCGGAUGAGUGUACCUGAAGAAAAAGCAUCGGCUACCUCCGUGCCAGCAGCCGCGGUAAUACGGGGGAUGAGAGCGUUAUCCGGAUUUAUGGGGUUUAACGGGUGCGCGGGCGGUCUGUUAAGUCAGCGGUCAAAGCCCGGGGCUCAACCGCGGCCCGCCGUUGAUACUGGCAGUCUCGAGUUGGAGAGAAGUAUGCGGAAUGCGCGGUGUAGCGGUGAAAUGCAUAGAUAUCGCGCAGAACUCCGAUUGCGAAGGCAGCAUGCCGGCUCCACACUGACGCUGAGGCACGAAAGCGUGGGUAUCGAACAGGAUUAGAUACCCUAGUAGUC